Molecule: ribosomal RNA, 497 nt
Filed under: uncultured bacterium
Lineage: Bacteria
Description: partial 16S ribosomal RNA
Rfam family: Bacterial small subunit ribosomal RNA
Source: RNAcentral
GAUGAACGCUGGCGGCGUGCCUAAUACAUGCAAGUCGAGCGAACAGACGAGGAGCUUGCUCCUCUGACGUUAGCGGCGGACGGGUGAGUAACACGUGGAUAACCUACCUAUAAGACUGGGAUAACUUCGGGAAACCGGCGCUAAUACCGGAUAAUAUAUUGAACCGCAUGGUUCAAUAGUGAAAGACGGUUUUGCUGUAACUUAUAGAUGGAUCCGUGCCGCAUUAGCUAGUUGGUAAGGUAACGGCUUACCAAGGCGACGAUGCGUAGCCGACCUAAGAGGGUGAUCGGCCACACUGGAACUGAGACACGGUCCAGACUCCUACGGGAGGCAGCAGUAGGGAAUCUUCCGCAAUGGGCGAAAGCCUGACGGAGCAACGCCGCGUGAGUGAUGAAGGUCUUCGGAUCGUAAAACUCUGUUAUUAGGGAAGAACAAAUGUGUAAGUAACUAUGCACGUCUUGACGGUACCUAAUCAGAAAGCCACGGCUAACUACGUG